This 86-nucleotide transfer RNA is filed under the name Prunus dulcis (almond). RNAcentral describes it as "tRNA tRNA.Met". Lineage: Eukaryota; Viridiplantae; Streptophyta; Magnoliopsida; Rosales; Rosaceae. The record is from RNAcentral.
GCAGGAAGGCGCAGUUGGCUAGCGUUUAGGUCUCAUAGCGUGGAAAGUGAGUUAUCCUGAGGUCGAGAGUUCGAACCUCUCUCUCA